AGUGAAUAGAUACCCGGGUAGUCCCAGCUGUAAACGAUGCGCGUUAGGUGUAUCGGUGACCACGAGUCACCGAGGUGCCGAAAGGGAAACCGUGAAACGUGCCGCCUGGGAAGUACGGUCGCAAGGCUGAAACUUAAAGGAAUUGGCGGGGGAGCACCACAACAGGUGGAGCCUGCGGUUUAAAUCGGACUCAACGCCGGGAAGCUCACCGGAUAAGACAGCUGAAUGAUAGCCGGGUUGAAGACUCUGCUUGACUAGCUGAGAGGAGGUGCAUGGCCGUCGUCAGUUCGUACUGUGAAGCAUCCUGUUAAGUCAGGCAACGAGCGAGACCCACGCCAACAGUUGCCAGCAUGUCCUCCGGGAUGGUGGGGACACUGUUGGGACCGCCUCUGCUAAAGAGGAGGAAGGAAUGGGCAACGGUAGGUCAGCAUGCCCCGAAUUAUCCGGGCUACACGCGGGCUACAAUGGUCAGGACAAUGGGUAUCAACACCGAAAGGUGAAGGCAAUCUCCUAAACCUGUCC
This 522-nucleotide ribosomal RNA is filed under the name uncultured bacterium. Its description in RNAcentral is "bacterial SSU rRNA". It matches the Rfam family "Archaeal small subunit ribosomal RNA", at positions 725 to 1243 of the family's 1478-position model. The record is from RNAcentral.